GUGAUAUUUUUUAACAGCUGCGGUGUUAUAACUGUACUAAGGUAGCAUAAUAAUUUGCCUUAUAAAUUAGGGCUAGAAUGAAUGGUUUGACGAGAGUUAUACUGUCUCUAUUUUAAUUGUUAGAAGUUAAUUUUUAUAGUGAAAAAGCUUGGAUGGUUUAAAGGGACGAGAAGACCCUGUUGAGCUUAAUAUAUAUAUAUAUAUAUAUAUAUAUAUAUAUAUUUGGUUGGGGUGAUCAAGGAAUAAAAUGUAAAUAGUUUAACUUCCUUAAAAAUUUUUUUUUGUUAGGAUAAUAAACCAAUUUAUUGCUUUAAUGAUAAGUUACCAUAGGGAUAACAGCGUAAUUUUUUUAGAGAGUUCUUAUUGAAAAAAAAGAUUGCGACCUCGAUGUUGGAUUAAAAUAACCAUUAGGUGUAGAU
Molecule: ribosomal RNA, 419 nt
Filed under: Japetella diaphana
Lineage: Eukaryota; Metazoa; Mollusca; Cephalopoda; Octopoda; Bolitaenidae
Description: partial small subunit ribosomal RNA
Rfam family: Bacterial large subunit ribosomal RNA
Source: RNAcentral